CUCACGAGUCCGGGGCCCAAGUCCCAGACGCUACCCAUGGAGGCGUCCAGCGAGCCGCGGCUGGAUGCUAAGUCCGAGGUCACCAACCAGCUUGUAGAUUUUCAGUGGAAACUGGGUAUGGCUGUGAGCUCAGACACUUGCAGAUCUCUUAAGUAUCCUUAUGUUGCAGUGAUGCUAAAAGUGGCAGAUCAUUCAGGCCAAGUAAAGACCAAGUGCUUUGAAAUGACGAUUCCACAGUUUCAGGUUUGUGAUUUAACUCAUCCAGUUUUAGCUCAGCUUUUCUGUAAUCGUCGCAUAAAAAGAUGUAUAAAAUCUUUCUAUGGGAAAACUUUAAUGGUUUUUAUUUGUAGAUUGAUAUGCUCUACAUUUACUAGUAGUAUAUGCAAGAGACAUGAAUUUGUCUUCUUUGGGAAUUGGAUAAAUUAUUUUCAAUAUAAUGUGCUGAAUUUGUGUACUGCGCCAUUUGAUCGCUUGAACAGUACUCCUCUCUGAGUAUAUUUAGGAAAGUUUUAUCUUCAGUGGCAGGAUAUUUA
Molecule: small RNA, 533 nt
Filed under: Pongo abelii (Sumatran orangutan)
Lineage: Eukaryota; Metazoa; Chordata; Mammalia; Primates; Hominidae
Description: retained intron
Source: RNAcentral